UACGUAGGGGGCAAGCGUUGUCCGGAUUUAUUGGGCGUAAAGGGCGCGUAGGCGGUCAGCACAAGUCAGUUGUGAAAUCUCCGAGCUUAACUCGGAAAGGUCAACUGAUACUGUGCGACUAGAGUGCAGAAGGGGCAACUGGAAUUCUUGGUGUAGCGGUGAAAUGCGUAGAUAUCAAGAGGAACACCUGCGGCGAAGGCGGGUUGCUGGGCUGACACUGACGCUGAAGCGCGAAAGCCAGGGGAGCGAACGGG
Molecule: ribosomal RNA, 254 nt
Filed under: uncultured bacterium
Lineage: Bacteria
Description: partial 16S ribosomal RNA
Rfam family: Bacterial small subunit ribosomal RNA
Source: RNAcentral